GACAGAGGGUGCAAACGUUGUUCGGAAUUACUGGGCGUAAAGCGAGUGUAGGCGGUUCGGUAAGUCGGAUGUGAAAGCCCCGGGCUCAACCCGGGAAGUGCACUCGAUACUGCCGAGCUAGAGUAUCGGAGAGGUUGGUGGAAUUCUCGGUGUAGAGGUGAAAUUCGUAGAUAUCGAGAGGAACACCAGUGGCGAAGGCGACUUACUGGACACAUAUUGACGCUGAGGUGCGAAAGCGUGGGGAGCAAACAGG
RNAcentral lists this ribosomal RNA (253 nucleotides) under uncultured bacterium. Its description in RNAcentral is "partial 16S ribosomal RNA". It matches the Rfam family "Bacterial small subunit ribosomal RNA", at positions 524 to 776 of the family's 1533-position model. The record is from RNAcentral.